GACGAACGCUGGCGGCGUGCUUAACACAUGCAAGUCGAACGGAAAGGCCCUGCUUUUGUGGGGUGCUCGAGUGGCGAACGGGUGAGUAACACGUGAGUAACCUGCCCUUGACUUUGGGAUAACUUCAGGAAACUGGGGCUAAUACCGGAUAGGAGCUCCUGCGGCAUGGUGGGGGUUGGAAAGUUUCGGCGGUUGGGGAUGGACUCGCGGCUUAUCAGCUUGUUGGUGGGGUAGUGGCUUACCAAGGCUUUGACGGGUAGCCGGCCUGAGAGGGUGACCGGCCACCUUGGGACUGAGAUACGGCCCAGACUCCUACGGGAGGCAGCAGUGGGGAAUAUUGCACAAUGGGCGGAAGCCUGAUGAAGAACCGCCGCGUGCGGGAUGACGGCCUUCGGGUUGUAAACCGCUUUCGCCUGUGACGAAGCGUGAGUGACGGUAAUGUGUAAAGAAGCACCGGCUAACUACGUG
This 468-nucleotide ribosomal RNA is filed under the name uncultured bacterium. RNAcentral's name for it is "partial 16S ribosomal RNA". It matches the Rfam family "Bacterial small subunit ribosomal RNA", at positions 28 to 507 of the family's 1533-position model. The record is from RNAcentral.